This is a long non-coding RNA of Ctenopharyngodon idella (grass carp), 1482 nucleotides long. RefSeq lists it as uncharacterized. The record is from RefSeq and is a predicted model, not a curated record. The transcript is spliced from 2 exons. NCBI's taxonomy places the organism in Eukaryota, Metazoa, Chordata, Actinopteri, Cypriniformes, Xenocyprididae.
CUUCUGGCAUGAUUUUAUUAGCAAAAUAUCCAACUGCUUAGUGGUGCAUCCAGGACGCACUCAAUCGCCAUUUCAUGUAUGAUCUAAAAGGGCAAUUGCCCUCAUGUUUUGCCGCAGGACUGCAAUUGCAAGUAAAUUUUCUGUCAUUUUUGCAGGAAAUUAAUAUGAAGAUUGUACCAAGUAACAUUUAUUUUUAGUAACAUUUAUCUUUAGCAACAAGAUGAAAGUGAAUAGCAAGCAGAACAAUGCAAUUACAACCAUGGCGAUUACGGCCAUUUAAUACAUCUCAGUCAUUAAUGCUUCUUCACCUUCAGAUGUUUUCUUUUUCAGUAGUUUUAGCAGUAGAAGUAAAAGCACAAAACAAGUCACAAGAAAUCAAAAAUGUAAAAUGUACAAAAAAUCCAAUACCAUUGUUGGCAAACAAUUAUUGCAAACAAUAAAUUUUAUACAUUUUUGUAAUCCUUUCUGUUGUAAACUACCGCCAUAUGUUUGACCUUUUUCUAUAACACUGAAGUCUUUUUAUUUUACCUGUUUAACCAACAGCUAUAGCAAUAUGAUUAAAUUUUUGUUGGAGGACAAAAUUAACAAAAAAGAUUGUAAUUCAUUAUAUAGGCCUAUAUGAAAUUGGCAAUUUCAUAGAAGCAUAAUAUGGAAAAGGAUUAUUUAGAACUGAAUGUGCCUAGUGCACAGUUCUAAAGAAUCCAGGUGGGUUUGUGUUCCCACUGGUAUGUCAGUAAGGACACCUGAGGCAAGGAUUCAGUUUCCAGAAUUUAAUGGAAUGAUUUAGAAUCGACAGCAAUUGACAGCACAGUCAGACCACAGGGCAUUUCUUGUUUAGGCACAGGUUGUGGACAUUUGUAUAGAUGUGGUAUUGUUUCAGUGGUAUUGUUCAGCCUCAGAAGAACACCUGAUGCUCCCCUCUCUUCAGCGAGCGAUCACUGGCUGAUGUCACACAGUAACGUGUGCUUAUUGGCUGUGACUUCUUAUCACUGCCGCCCCCAAAUAUGCUGAGCAUAUUUGCCCCUUUGUAGGCUUAAUCAGUUUACUCAGCUAACUCAGUCAGGGGCUGAGUCUUUGACAGGUACAUUCUCGUCUGUGAAAGCAGGAAGGGGAAUCAAACGAGCAAUAGCCCGGGUGUAGAUCUUAUCAUUGAUUUGGGUCUCUGCUUCUCUGAUCGGGCCAUCUGAACCAAAAUCAUUAUACACAAACAUUUCUGCUAUCAGGUUCACAUGCAGAAUCUGUUUAUAUAUAUUUUUUAUUGCCAUGAGGUUGCUCUGUAACAGAUAUUUACAUAUUUUCCACAAGAUAAAGCAAGAACUGAAACUACCCUGUUUAAAAAUGUACUACUGACUCUUGGUUUUUUAAAUUGUGCCUCUUUAACAGUAAAUGUUUUUCAGUUGUCAGGGCCUCAUUUCCCCAAAACAAUGGAUCUUAGUUCAUGUUCCAUCUUUCCUUACAGUUAAACUCAUUAAUGAAAUACAU